AACAUUCAAACCCUAACUCUUACCAAAAUCCUUGAACCAAACGAUCCCCAUCUGACAAAGAUAUGAAUCCAUCUUUUAAAGUUCUGAUGAAGGAUUCAUACAUAAUGCAAGAUUAUAUGGUAAAUGAGUUCUUUUUUAUUUUAAAAUUCUAUUUUUUUUAAAUGAUUGUGAUUUUCGACUCGGUUUUGCAAAAGAAUCAGAAAAAACAAAGUGAUGUUUCGAUUUAAUUUUUGAAGAGGGGCACAUCUGGUUUCAACAAAAAAAUGAGUUUCAACCAAAUCCAGUUUAAAACAAACAGAUCUGGUAUAUCAAAGAAAUUAUUUUUCUAGUUUUUUUUAUUUAUCUCUCAGCCAACCAAGUAAUACAAAAAAAUUGAGUUUCAACCAAAAUCCAGUUUGAAACAAACAGAUCUGAUUGUAAUAAAAUAUCAAACAAACUGUUUUUUUAAUAAUCUCUCAACCAACCAAGUAACAUAAAAAAUUGAGUUUCAACCAAAUCCAAUGUGCAACAAACAGAUCUGCAUGUAAUAAAAUAUCAAAGAAACUGUUUUUUUAUUAAUCUCUCAACCAACAGUAUGCAUAUUGCAUUAUUUCAAUUUUUCUUUUUGUUUGUAGCAUAUUCCAAAAUAUUUUUAUGGACACCUUCCUGAAUCACAUAGCUCAGCGGUUCUUCACUAUGAUGGCCAGCCUUGGUUUAUGGAAAUUAACAUGGGUAAGCGGAGAGGGUUCAAAUACGGUUG
RNAcentral lists this long non-coding RNA (739 nucleotides) under Nicotiana benthamiana. RNAcentral's name for it is "long non-coding RNA (NBEN_LNC015591)". Lineage: Eukaryota; Viridiplantae; Streptophyta; Magnoliopsida; Solanales; Solanaceae. The record is from RNAcentral.